AGAAGCACAAGCACGCCAGCAGUUCAUCAAAACGAGCAUUCCACGUACACAUACUCCACUAGCUAGGCUAGGCGCUAUAGCAGCUAGCAAGGCUAUACCUUGGUUGCAACAGUACACUCGACCUGAUCAUACGUUUUUAGUUGUGGUUACACGCAGGGUGACAGGACGGGAUCGUACGUCGACCGUACCUGAUCCAUCUGAUCUAGCAUGGCACCGACGGCCGCGGCGAUGGUGGUGAGGGCCACGGUGGUGGCCGUGCUGCUGUUGAUGCAGUGCUGCAAUGUCAUCCUUGCCGCGAGGCCGUUGCUGCUGAGUGCGGCGGCGGAUGGCCGUGGGUGGCAGCAGCUGGGAAAGGGCGCCGGAUCAGCGCUCAGUACCGUGCGGCAGCUUCUCGCCAUGGCCGUUGGUCCGGGGGAAGGCAACCCGUUCGACUACCAGGAUCCCAACUACCAGCCCCCGGACAUGUCAUCGCUAGUUCCAUAAGUUGCAGCUGGCUCGCUGGCUGCCUUCGGCAUCAUUUGCUUGAUUUCGCGGAUUUAUUCAGGCGUGUAUGGCAUCAAACUAGCUCUUUAGCAUUGCAGUGUUGGGUUGAAAGGUGGUUUUUGAGCUUAGGAAUAUAUGCAUUUGCUUAGAUCGCGUGGAAUUUUAUUUUUUUCUUUCUUACUUAUUUUUAAUGGCCAUUGUAUCGAUCGUAAAUUGGAGAACAUUUGUAAGUAGCUUGAGCUGUGGUUGGCAUUACCUAAAAAUAGAUGCCUGGAUGGAUGCUACUCUAGAGCAUGCGGAUUCGAGUUUUUUAUAGAAAGAUUCGACCACUAAUGUAUACAAACAAUAUCGGAAUGAGCAAUUAGUAUCAGAACAUUCAGUUUAUCUUCAAUAGGUUGUGUUACCAAAUAG
This 894-nucleotide long non-coding RNA is filed under the name Setaria italica (foxtail millet). RNAcentral describes it as "long non-coding RNA (SITA_LNC007378)". Lineage: Eukaryota; Viridiplantae; Streptophyta; Magnoliopsida; Poales; Poaceae. The record is from RNAcentral.